UAUGUUUUAGUAUAUGAUGUACAAGGACUUUUGAUGUCUUUAGAAAUGGUUUAAUUCCAUUAGAUAUAA
RNAcentral lists this transfer RNA (69 nucleotides) under Tenebrionoidea sp. 9 KM-2017. Its description in RNAcentral is "tRNA-Gln". The record is from RNAcentral. Lineage: Eukaryota; Metazoa; Arthropoda; Insecta; Coleoptera.